Molecule: long non-coding RNA, 458 nt
Filed under: Manihot esculenta (cassava)
Lineage: Eukaryota; Viridiplantae; Streptophyta; Magnoliopsida; Malpighiales; Euphorbiaceae
Description: long non-coding RNA (MESC_LNC012641)
Source: RNAcentral
AUAGGUUGUUUGCAUUAGAAUUCACGAAUAUGAUGCAUUGCAUAAUACGAUGAAAGUGAUGUGGAUGAAUCUUGAAUGAUCCUCUAGCCCUCAGUACGAUAUGAUAUGAUAUGAUAUGACAUGGUAUGAUAUGAGAUAGAAAGACCAGGUCACCCCUGGCACUAUGUUAUAUGUAAGCGAACACUAGGUGAGGCCUAAUCGCCCCUGGUGUAGUUGGACAUAUUAUGAUAUGAGUUAAGUAAGCGAAUACUAGGUGUGGCCUCAUCGCCCCUGGUAUAGUUGGACAUAUUACGAUAUGUAGAGGGCUAUUGGUGACAAAUUCAUCCUUGAUGUGAUAUGUUUGUGAUGUGAUGCAUUCCAUGAUAGCAUACGUUAAAAUGAACUGUUUUCUUUUAUGGUUUCUGCUCACUGGGCUUUAUAGCUCACCCCUCUCCCCUAACCCCAGGUUUGCAGGGUCA